Molecule: long non-coding RNA, 1739 nt
Organism: Homo sapiens (human)
Lineage: Eukaryota; Metazoa; Chordata; Mammalia; Primates; Hominidae
Gene: HOXA11-AS
Product: HOXA11 antisense RNA
Source: Ensembl
GUCGGAGGAGGCGAGGUUUUCCGGGGUGCCGUAGGCUGUCUCGAAAAACUGGUCGAAAGCCUGUGGCAGGACGCCGUUCCUGCCCACGGUGCUAUAGAAAUUGGACGAGACUGCGGGGGUGGGGUGGUGGUAGACGUUGGCCGAGCUCUUGGCCAGCACGUCGCCAGGCACGCCGGCCGCGCUGGGCGCCUGCAGGCAGUCUCUGUGCACGAGCUCCUCCGCGGAGUAGCAGUGGGCCAGAUUGCCGCGGGGGUGCCAUUUAGUGGCGGGCUCAAUGGCGUACUCUCUGAAGGUCACUUCGCGCACGGGUUGGACCUGGGGCAGGUUGGAGGAGUAGGAGUAUGUCAUUGGGCGCGAAGACGGGGUCUGGGGCAGAAAAGAAGGGAGGCUGGAGAAAUCUGGACCCGAGACGUAGUAAGUACAACUUGGCAAAUACAUGUUAGAGGAGCAGGGACCACGCUCAUCAAAAUCCAUUAUUGGGCUACCUUGGGCUCUCCGCAGUAGCCGAGCUUAACAUGAUUCUCCACUGCAGCUGCCUCUUUGAAGCGGAUCCGUGAAGUAGAAAUUUGGAGACCCACCUCAGGGGAAGCAACAGAUCGUCACUCGGUGUUCUCACCGAAAGCACGUAAUCGCCGGUGUAACUCAUGUUGGCUGGGGGGCCUCCCGGCGCGCGCGGAGAGGCUGGGGUGCGCCCCCAUGCAGCAUGCUUGUGCUCAAUUGCAGGGUCCUCGUUCUCGAGUGUGCAGAGGGCGGUGAGAGCUCAACUCUCGUCCCCACCUCCCACCCGCAGCUCCCCGGUCCCCCUCCCAUAGACUUGCUCUGGGAAGCGCCUCUGCCUCCGACCCUAGCCGGAACCCCUUCGGGGCCAGAGUUUGAAGCCGUGGAUGUGCCUGCCUGGUGGCUUGUCCGAUUUGCACGGUGACUUGAUUACACUCUCUCAUUCAUGGUCACUUCCGAAGCGCUUUAGUGCCUUCCGUCCCUAAACCGCCAACAGCCAGAACGGCUUCUCCCCGCGUGACUCGGCAGAGACAGAGGCACAGGGGCUGCCCUGCUGCUCACCGGUCCACCCAUCUGCCUGGUCUUCUGGAGCUGAGGACUCGGGAAACCAUGCAAUUGAGGCAAGCCUUGGGCUGCUUUAGAGGCGCUGACAUCCGAGGAGACUUCUCCUGGGAGGUCCAACAGCCGAGCUUAGCCCACCGGGCUCUGGGAAAGACCCGACUGAGGCUAAAGCCGCCCCGGAAGGCCAAGUCCGAGUUCCAUUUCUUGAAGAGGCCGGCGCGCGUAAGGCUGUGACAUUGGCCCUGGCGACUGGCUUCCCAGGAGCUGUUCUUUCUCAGGAGCUCCACAGCGCGGGCCAUCUCCAGAAAACUGUCUUCAGAGUGUAUUUCCUUUUAUCGUCAACCCAGAGCCCCACCGCGGCUAAUGCAAGAGGCCAAAAAAUGUUUGGAGGAAGAAAAACAAAGGCAGGAAGUGGCGGCGGCCUGACGGUGCGUGUGUGUCUGCAGAGAAGGGAGGGAGCCGGCUCAGUCUCUUCUUGUUUUUCCAAACUUCAAGGUCCAGGCAGCCCUCUGCAGGGCCGGGCCCCAUUGCUCCCCGCGCGGCAUUGGAGGUGGCCGCCCGGAGAGGAGAAGGCCAACGCCUGCGCCAGGCUUGUCAGGCGGAAACGGCUAACAAGGAGAUUUGGUCAGCAAAACAGACCCAGCCUUUCCGAGGCUUCGUCUGACUUGGCCCGAAAGGUU